UCGCAGCCCUUCCAGAGUCUGAUGGCUUAAAUGUGAGCUGCACACGGUCAUGUUUGAUUCCCUCAAUCAGAGGAGGAAGAGGUUUUGAUGGAGGCUCGAAAUUGGUGCUGACCAGCUCUCCAUCCUCAUACAGAUAUUCACUGAGUUGCCGAGUAUUGAAUGGUGAUUGUUCUUUGCUGCUUAAAAUGUCCACCAGGGCCCCUUCCUCUGCUCCUCCUCCACGGAUACAGGGGAAAGUUGUGGCAGUUCUGUCCUUCAUCAUGUCAUUGCACCGCACGUCUAGUUCUGUGAGGUGCUCCAUGACAGCUUCAACAUCAGAAAUCAGCCUGACGCCGAUCUCACGUAUCAGCUGAGUGCUUCUGGAAUCUUGCUUGAUGAGUGGAUACAGCCAGACUGUCACUGGAACGGCCUUCUCCCCAUUGUCUCCCAGCAGCUUGGGGAGAGUGGAAUAAACUUUUACAGCAUCUUCAUAAGUAACUGGAUUGUUCUCAAGACCAAAGUCACCAUAGAACGUACAAGUGAUUUUGUCAGUAUUUUCUAUUUCCUUAUCCUCCAUUUUGGACUCUCCAUCUUCUUCUGAAAUCUUUGCUGUUUUUUCUAUCGUAAGUUUCAUCUUUCCCUGGAUCUCUUCUACACUUUCAGAAGAAGAAACUUCCUGAUCAAACACAAAGAAAGCCUGAGCCCCAUACAGCACAGCUGUGACCACAUGGGUGGCUUUGCCUUGGUCGAAUACAGCAGGAUAAGUAACCUGCUGUCCUAAAUGGCUCAUUGUCAGAUGCUCAGACCUCACUGUCAUUUUGUAUUGGAGAGUAACUCGCGCCUGAUGUCUGGAUUUCCUGGUGUCACUUAAAUAUACAGCAGAUCCAUUCAUUUCAACUAAACCACACAGGAAACUGGCCUUCAGCGAUUCACCAGCAUGGAGUGCAGAGGCCUUCUCUGCAAUGGUGUCAGAUGCAAUAACCUGAAAUUCAGUCUUGUAUUGUUUUUGCAUAUCCACGUCCUUCCUAAGAGCCGCACUGUCCAAUAGUGUGAUGCCUGCAAAAUUCCAAACACAGAGUGAGUAACAGAGAGGCUAGGAAAUCUUUCCACAGUUUAAGCAUGUCUAGAGCAUGAAUUGGGCCAGGUCAUAUUGGGUUGUUGACCAGAUUUUUUUUCUUUUUAGCUGCCAUCUUGUUCUCCAGAAUCUCAGCUUUCAUUUCAGAUUAAGUCUCUAGCCCUCAUGGGUGUGAAGAAUAAAAUGUGACCCAAGUGUAACCACUCCAGUGAGGUUUACCUGGUCCUGCUUUGAGCAGGGGGCUGGACUAGAUGACCUCCUGAGGUCCCUUCCAACCCUGACCUUCUACGAUUCUAUGCAGACAGCCUGAAACAAUAGCCCAGAAAGGUCUGAAGUGCCCCAGUCAUCUCCAUAUGGGCUUAAAUGAGAUGCCCAAUGACAGUAAUUUCAAUGUCAACAUUGCUAAUGAUGUCACUGCUGCCCAAAGCAUGUCAGGGCUAGUCUGCACUAGAAGCGCUACAUCGACAUGGCUGCACCAUGGCAGCUGCCCUGCUGUAAUGCGUCUGGGGAAGAGGCUCUAAGACGAGGGGAGCAGCUCUCCCAGCCGCAUAAUCCAUCUCCGUGAGGGGUGGUAACCAUGUCAAUGGGAGACGCUCUCCCACCGACAUAGCGCUGUCCACACCGGUGCUUAAAUUGACGUGAAUUAUGUGGCUUGGGGAGGUGGAUUAUUCCCACCCCUGAGAGAUGUAAGUUAUACCAAAGUAAGCUCUCGUGUAGACAAGCCUCAGAAAGGAGGGGGAGAGUCACAGAGCUGCACAAUCUACGGGGAUGCACCCUUCAUUUUGGUGCCAUGUGCGGGAGGCGUGUAGGUGCUAUUGUGACAGUGGGAUCCGUCGGUAUCAACUUAUGAAUUUUAUUCUGUAUUAUUUGUAACCUCCCCCUUUCCUUCCUGGGUUACUUGAGAGCAGGCAACUCUCACCUGUUGCCUGGGCACCUGACGUCAUUAAGGACAAUGGAGAUCCUGGGGGUCCCAGCUGAGAUGGGAAAUUCGGAGGGAAUCCUCAAGUAACCCCCCUGCAGUAGUGCUUUUACUGUUAGGAAUAUUUACAGUUGGUGGUGCCUCCACCUGGACAGGCACGGAAUACAUCUGUGACUGUACUUCGGUUGCCUCCAGGACCAAAAAUAUCAAUAAUGGAUCUUAGUCAGGCAAAAUAAAACCAACGCACGUUUAUUUAAAAUGUACCCUAACAGCACACAACAGAAGAUGCACCAGAGUCACAUGGAUUAAGUGGUUAUAUCCCUACCAGAUCAGUAGGUGGCGCUGCAAGAGCUCAGCUAACGACUGCAGCUUCCAACGGCAAGUCGCAAUAGAGCCCUAACCAGG
Molecule: long non-coding RNA, 2378 nt
Organism: Chelonia mydas (Green sea turtle)
Lineage: Eukaryota; Metazoa; Chordata; Testudines; Cheloniidae
Exons: 3
Source: RefSeq, a predicted model, not a curated record